This 460-nucleotide ribosomal RNA is filed under the name uncultured bacterium. RNAcentral's name for it is "partial 16S ribosomal RNA". It matches the Rfam family "Bacterial small subunit ribosomal RNA", at positions 338 to 795 of the family's 1533-position model. The record is from RNAcentral.
CCUACGGGAGGCAGCAGUGAGGAAUAUUGGUCAAUGGACGAGAGCCUGAACCAGCCAAGUAGCGUGAAGGAUGACUGCCCUAUGGGUUGUAAACUUCUUUUAUAUGGGAAUAAAAUGUUCCACGUGUGGGAUUUUGUAUGUACCAUAUGAAUAAGGAUCGGCUAACUACGUGCCAGCAGCCGCGGUAAUACGGUGGAUCCGAGCGUUAUCCGGAUUUAUUGGGUUUAACGGGUGCGUAGGUGGAUUGUUAAGUCAGUUGUGAAAGUUUGCGGCUCAACCGUAAAAUUGCAGUUGAAACUGGCAGUCUUGAGUACAGUAGAGGUGGGCGGAAUUCGUGGUGUAGCGGUGAAAUGCUUAGAUAUCACGAAGAACUCCGAUUGCGAAGGCAGCUCACUGGACUGCAACUGACACUGAGGCUCGAAAGUGUGGGUAUCAAACAGGAUUAGAUACCCGUGUAGUC